ACGCUCGACACCUACUGGAGGCAGCAGUCGGGAAUAUUGCGCAAUGGAGGAAACUCUGACGCAGUGACGCCGCGUAUAGGAAGAAGGUUUUCGGAUUGUAAACUAUUGUCGUUAGGGAAGAUACAAGACAGUACCUAAGGAGGAAGCACCGGCUAACUAUGUGCCAGUAGCCGCGGUAAUCUGAGCGGGCUGGCAAGGC
Molecule: ribosomal RNA, 199 nt
Filed under: uncultured bacterium
Lineage: Bacteria
Description: partial 16S ribosomal RNA
Rfam family: Bacterial small subunit ribosomal RNA
Source: RNAcentral